GCCGGUCCUCGGUAGUGGCCCCCGGGAGAAUGCGAACCCCGGGUGCUUCGAUCGAAGACCGGC
Streptomyces sp. HGB0020 is the source of this 63-nucleotide regulatory RNA element. It matches the Rfam family "Actino-pnp RNA". Lineage: Bacteria; Bacillati; Actinomycetota; Actinomycetes; Kitasatosporales; Streptomycetaceae. The record is from Rfam.